RNAcentral lists this ribosomal RNA (357 nucleotides) under uncultured bacterium. RNAcentral's name for it is "bacterial SSU rRNA". It matches the Rfam family "Bacterial small subunit ribosomal RNA", at positions 8 to 353 of the family's 1533-position model. The record is from RNAcentral.
AGAGUUUGAUCCUGGCUCAGGAUGAACGCUAGCUACAGGCUUAACACAUGCAAGUCGAGGGGAAACGACAUCGAAAGCUUGCUUUUGAUGGGCGUCGACCGGCGUACGGGUGAGUAACGCGUAUCCAACCUGCCCACCACUUGGGGAGUAACCUUGCGAAAGUAAGACUAAUACCCAAUGAUAUCUCUAGAAGACAUCUGAAAGAGAUUAAAGAUUUAUCGGUGAUGGAUGGGGAUGCGUCUGAUCAGCUUGUUGGCGGGGUAACGGCCCACCAAGGCAACGAUCAGUAGGGGUUCUGAGAGGAAGGUCCCCCACAUUGGAACUGAGACACGGUCCAAACUCCUUCGGGAGGCUGCA